Molecule: small nucleolar RNA, 138 nt
Organism: Ornithorhynchus anatinus (platypus)
Lineage: Eukaryota; Metazoa; Chordata; Mammalia; Monotremata; Ornithorhynchidae
Source: RefSeq, a predicted model, not a curated record
CCCCUCUCAGGACGGCAGCUGGAGAAUUUCCAGUACUCUACCAGACUCGGUUACGGGAGGGAGAGUCAAGCAGAGGCAUACCCAUUCCAUUCCUAGCUCGGGCAGUGGCUAGCGAGUGGCAGGCAGUCAGCGACAAGU